ACAACGUUGAUAGGCUGGGUGUGGAAGUGCAGUAAUGCAUGAAGCUAACCAGUACUAAUUGCCCGUGAGGCUUGACCAU
This 79-nucleotide ribosomal RNA is filed under the name Candidatus Thiodiazotropha sp. (ex Epidulcina cf. delphinae). Its description in RNAcentral is "partial 23S ribosomal RNA". It matches the Rfam family "Bacterial large subunit ribosomal RNA", at positions 2847 to 2925 of the family's 2925-position model. Lineage: Bacteria; Pseudomonadati; Pseudomonadota; Gammaproteobacteria; Chromatiales; Sedimenticolaceae. The record is from RNAcentral.